CCUACGGGUGGCAGCAGUGGGGAAUAUUGCACAAUGGGGGAAACCCUGAUGCAGCGACGCCGCGUGAGUGAAGAAGUAAUUCGUUACGUAAAGCUCUAUCAGCAGGGAAGAAAGACUGACCUUACGGUCAGCAGACGGUACCUGAGUAAGAAGCACCGGCGACCUACGUGCCAGCAGCCGCGGUAAUACGUAGGGGGCAAGCGUUAUCCGGAUGUACUGGGUGGAAAGGGAGCGUAGACGGUGCGCCAAGUCUGGAGUGAAAUGCCGCCGCUUAACUGCGGAACUGCUUUGGAAACUGGCGAACUAGAGUGCGGGAGGGGUAAGCGGAAUUCCUCGUGUAGCGGUGACAUGCGUAGAUAUUAGGAGGAACACCGGUGGCGAAGGCGGCUUACUGGACCGUAACUGCCGUUGAGGCUCGAAAGCGUGGGGAGCAAACAGGAUUAGAUACCAGUGUAGUC
This 458-nucleotide ribosomal RNA is filed under the name uncultured bacterium. RNAcentral describes it as "partial 16S ribosomal RNA". It matches the Rfam family "Bacterial small subunit ribosomal RNA", at positions 338 to 795 of the family's 1533-position model. The record is from RNAcentral.